CCUGCUGUUGUGAGUAUUAAAUCUGUAAACAGGCGAAUAUGGGGACAGGGGACAUAUUCGAAUGAUGGCCCCGGUCAAAUUUUCUAAUAACUCAGACAUGGUCUUUUGAAGGUACUGGAAACUGAUAUUUUUCUGUCAUUGUAUUCUUUCUUGUUUGUGUGUAGAAAAUGAGAAGUAUUUUUGGGUUUUACCCGAAACUAAGCAUUUUGGUAGCUUUAUAUCACAUCCGUGUUGUUUGUGCCGUGUGGCGGCUGUAAAAAGUCUCCCCGUACAUUUAAUCAAUGAUGUUAUAUUUUCGAUCCUUGAAGAUCGUUCAGCACGACAUUAUUGUUGUGCUUGUGGUAUUUUUAGUUUCAACUUUUCGGCAUUUUUUAGUUGGGUGGUUCCUGUAUUCCUACUUGAAUAAUGUUGAAUCACCCUUAGGAUAUGUUGUCUGCUUUUUAAACUUGUCUUAUAACGUCUUAUCUGUGAUAUGCAGGCCUCAUAACCUCUGAUCCCCUUUCAAAAUUCCAUUUUAUGUAGUUCCGCCCAUUGUUUUCUCGUUUAGGGCACACGCUUUUUAUUACUUUGGGACCAUACGCCGCUUUCCAUGGAAUGGCACGGAAGUGUCACAUUGAAGGUUCCAUGAUACCCGCCGUAUGAACACAUAUGCGGAUGUUUUUAAAUUCAAAAUUUUACUAUUUCAUGUUUAAAUGUUGAAUUCUGCUUAAGCCGGUGCUAGGGGGCGUGGACGGUAACUUGCACUUUCCAGUACCGUCCAUGAACAGGCUCAAUCAAACCGAGCCUGCAACAUUUUCAAUUUUGCCGUGUUGGGCUUUCUUAAGGGAUUCUGUAUUUAUCUAAUUGUAAGUAUUUCUGACUCUCCGAAUGGAGGUGAAAAAGUUCAGUUUUGACAGUUGGCGCCUAGCAAGAAAGAAAUUUCAGAUAAAUUUUGUGAAAAAUCUUAACGUAUGACAGACACUUUAUUUGUAAUUUUUGAAAAUGCCAUAGCUUGCACUGUGUGUUAUUGAUAAUUUUAAAGGAAUCGGGCGGAUUCUGGAGUGUGCUGCACCUUCAUGAAGAUUGUCCAUAUGGGUAUAUUUUAGGUGUGAUUUUGGCUGGAUGGGGGUAAAUAUAAAUUGCUGUCAGUCUUUUUUUUAGGAGCAAUGCAUGCUAACUAUUAUUUUCUUCAAUGUAUGUCAUAUAUCAUUGAAUAAUGCUGUGCAACUGGUUAUCUGCCUGUGAGACAGAUUUUGAAAUAUUUGGAAUUGUAUUUCUGGUCACACUGAAAUAUAAAAUUGUUCAUUUUUAGGUCUCUUACAAUGGAGACGUUAUCUGUACGUCAUCUGUCGUUUAUGCGGGUUACCAGGUACCAAUAUAUACACGACUUGAUUCAUAUAAGGAUUGAGCUGAUUUUAGACAAAUACUUUACACUUAAUUCAAUAACAUUUUCAAAACAAUACCCGCAAUAAUAACGUUAUUUACAGAUAAAAAAUGAGAAAAUAGAUAAACAAGACAAAGCCAUAUUCACAGAGUGCAGCCCCAUGUAUAUUCCAGCUACGCAAGCAAGGUACUUUCAAGCUGCUGAAAAGACACUUAAGAACAAAUGCAAUCUUUAACAUAAUGAAUUUUCCAAAAUCGAGUUGUCAAGACUAUCCAUUAUGAAUAUUUAUCCCGUUCGAGUUUUGCACGUGUGCCCUGUCCUGUUCGGUGUUCAGCUGGGAUGCUAUCUGGUAGUCCUGUGUUGGGGGAUACGUGCCACUCUUCCUUGUUGAUCUUUCUUUUCAAUAUCUGGGACAUAUUUUUCUCUUGCACUGAAAUAAUAUUUUUAUCAUCUGUAUUAUCAGAAAGAUUGGUAAGUCUAAAAUGUAAAAUUCAGAUAACAUUGUAGCGGAUUUGACAUUUGUCUUGACAUUCAUGAUAAGAUAUGGAGAAAAUGUUGAAAUCGCUUAUGUCGUCAUUAACGUUUAAUUCAUAUGAACGGAUUUAUCAACAAUAUACGGUUCUAUUUAUGAAAUAAUUGAAAAUAAUUGCAACGGUUACGUUUGUUUUGCGGAAACAUACUUAUAAGAACAGAAGAAAUCGCAACAUGAUUGGCUUUCCUCUUCACAGAAAUAAAAGUUUCAUUCUAAUUCUUCUUGUUGUCGUCAGUAUUACUUGUAGUGUAAAUGGACAGCUUUGCCAGAAAGUCGUCGUUGCCGGGAGAAUAAUCUGCAAGGAUACAGCACCGUUCAUUGACGGGUUAGGACGAUGUGCAAGGAGUGUUCCUUCAGAGUCUGGCAAGAAAAGGUGUGGCUUAAUUGGAUCUGGUUGUCGAUGUCAAUCUAAUCAAGUUCUAAACAGGGUGGCAACAAAUUCAACUGCGAUCUCCCAGUUGUCAGGUCUGAUUGGACGGAAGUGACUACAUCCUCGGAUUGAAAUGCAAACAUAUUAAUACAUGUGUAUAAAUGGAUGACACAUCAUUUUUGUUUUCAUGAUUUAGAUUACUGUGUUGUAUUACAAGAUUUCUUUGUAAGUAUGAAUAUUGUAACAAUAUGAUUCUUAUACGUA
Molecule: long non-coding RNA, 2529 nt
Organism: Ruditapes philippinarum (Manila clam)
Lineage: Eukaryota; Metazoa; Mollusca; Bivalvia; Venerida; Veneridae
Exons: 2
Source: RefSeq, a predicted model, not a curated record